Long non-coding RNA from Xenopus tropicalis (tropical clawed frog), 531 nucleotides. RefSeq lists it as uncharacterized. The transcript is spliced from 4 exons. The record is from RefSeq and is a predicted model, not a curated record. NCBI's taxonomy places the organism in Eukaryota, Metazoa, Chordata, Amphibia, Anura, Pipidae.
AGUUGAUAUCUAUUUAUUUCAUUCUUUUGGGUGGACUUCUCUUUUAAUCUUUUGUUUGUUUCCUCAGUGCUCUCUGCUGCCCCAAGUGGCCGGUAUCUCCCCUAUAAAUACCCGCUCAGAGGGCCAGGCCGGCCUUUAUAAAAUGGCUGCUCACAAAGCAACAGGUUUCCAGAAAUACAUAAAUACAAAGAGAAAUGAAGAGCAAAGGAUCUGAGAUUCUCUGUUCACUGAAACAGAAGCCCAGUGAGGAAUCCCCAUAAAGGAGAGUGAGAGGAACGAGACGAGGGGCGGCAGUUAUGGGCAGAGCUCGCUGGGUGAGAUCCUACUAAGGCCCCUUCCCAUCACAAUGAAGGAUUUUCUGUCUAAAUUGUAUUUCUGGAAAUUGUAAUGUUGUAAAACUGUUUUGGAAAUUGUAUAUUUGGAAUUGUGUAUAUAAAUUGUUAUGGUUCUAAAGGUCCAUUAUGGAGCUCCAGGGAACAGCACUGUCACUGCUUCACUCAUUUACACAAUUAAACGCACUGACAAUAAGGA